UACAGAGGUCUCAAGCGUUGUUCGGAUUUAUUGGGCGUAAAGGGCGCGUAGGCGGCGGGGUAAGUCGGGUGUGAAAUCUCAGGGCUCAACCCUGAAACUGCACUUGAUACUGCUCUGCUUGAGGACUGGAGAGGAGACUGGAAUUCACGGUGUAGCAGUGAAAUGCGUAGAUAUCGUGAGGAAGACCAGUGGCGAAGGCGGGUCUCUGGACAGUUCCUGACGCUGAGGCGCGAAAGCGUGGGGAGCAAACAGG
This 253-nucleotide ribosomal RNA is filed under the name uncultured bacterium. Its description in RNAcentral is "partial 16S ribosomal RNA". It matches the Rfam family "Bacterial small subunit ribosomal RNA", at positions 524 to 776 of the family's 1533-position model. The record is from RNAcentral.